AUUGAACGCUGGCGGCAUGCCUUACACAUGCAAGUCGAACGGCAGCACGGGUGCUUGCCCCUGGUGGCGAGUGGCGAACGGGUGAGUAAUACAUCGGAACAUGUCCUGUAGUGGGGGAUAGCCCGGCGAAAGCCGGAUUAAUACCGCAUACGAUCCACGGAUGAAAGCGGGGGACCUUCGGGCCUCGCGCUAUGGGGUUGGCCGAUGGCUGAUUAGCUAGUUGGUGGGGUAAAGGCCUACCAAGGCGACGAUCAGUAGCUGGUCUGAGAGGACGACCAGCCACACUGGGACUGAGACACGGCCCAGACUCCUACGGGAGGCAGCAGUGGGGAAUUUUGGACAAUGGGCGAAAGCCUGAUCCAGCAAUGCCGCGUGUGUGAAGAAGGCCUUCGGGUUGUAAAGCACUUUUGUCCGGAAAGAAAUCCUUGACUCUAAUACAGUCGGGGGAUGACGGUACCGGAAGAAUAAGCACCGGCUAACUACGUG
This 486-nucleotide ribosomal RNA is filed under the name uncultured bacterium. RNAcentral's name for it is "partial 16S ribosomal RNA". It matches the Rfam family "Bacterial small subunit ribosomal RNA", at positions 30 to 507 of the family's 1533-position model. The record is from RNAcentral.